GUGGAUCAACAUAUAUAAUACUCAGAAAUUGAGACAAAUGCGAGACAUUGCAAUAUCAAUAAUACAUAACGAAAAGGGAUGGAUAAUAAUUUAUUGAUUUGAAGAACGACUGGUACAAAAUUUGAACCUAAGUUUUGACUGAAUAAGCAACAACGAAAUUGGUCCAAAAACCACGAACUUCGACAUCAACUGAACCGGCACCGGGAACUCAAACUGAACACAAGUUCAGUCCCACAUUUCGAUCGAAAUGCAUCCUCAAUACAAAGCAAUUUUGGUUCUGAAUAUGCUUAGCACAAGAAAAUUUUGGACAGCCAUAACAAGAUGGGACCCAGAUCUGUCCGGAAACCUCGCCGGAAUUUCAAACUCGAACCCAAAAUCAAAGACUGAAUAAAGACGCCCAAGCUCUGAAAAGGCAACGAGAGUUUUUAGCUGCUUAAGAGACGUUGCUGCUGGUUUUACUGCGCUUUAGCAGCCAUUACUAUUGUUUCCGACGAGCUCCGGUGAUGGAGGAAACGGGUCUGUGGGUGAUGGUUUUGGAGUCGGGCGGUGGGUUUGAUGGUGAGAGGAUGGGUGUCAUUGGAUUUGUUUGGGAAUUAAGAGUGGGUUCUCAAGCUGUGAGAAUGGCGAAGAAGCAGGGGUCCUUUGGGGCGAAGCGAAGAAGAUGAGAUCGUGGGGGCUGGGUUCCUUUCUGAAAGUCGGUGCUCUUCUCCAGCUUUUCCCUACGCUUUCUUUUUUUGUAUUUUUUAGCACCUUAG
RNAcentral lists this long non-coding RNA (755 nucleotides) under Nicotiana benthamiana. Its description in RNAcentral is "long non-coding RNA (NBEN_LNC014102)". Lineage: Eukaryota; Viridiplantae; Streptophyta; Magnoliopsida; Solanales; Solanaceae. The record is from RNAcentral.